GACCUUAAAUUCUACUUUUCAAGAUCCUAACCCACUUAAACUUCAAUAGCUCUCAAUUAAGCUAUUAGAUCAAGGUAAAAUUUUCAACACAUAUUAAAUACAACUAUAACUAUUGAUCCACAAAAUUUCACUAAUGGAUCUACUAUAAAACUUCUAAAAUUAUCCAAAAUAUUAACCUUCUUUCAUUUCAUAAAAAUCCAAGUAAUUAGAAACAAUCUUAAUUUUGUAAAGCUCAUACAAAGUCAUUACAAAUCCAAAUUACAAAAAAUCAA
Molecule: long non-coding RNA, 272 nt
Filed under: Physcomitrium patens
Lineage: Eukaryota; Viridiplantae; Streptophyta; Bryopsida; Funariales; Funariaceae
Description: long non-coding RNA (PPAT_LNC000720)
Source: RNAcentral